Molecule: ribosomal RNA, 169 nt
Filed under: Pristiapogon exostigma (narrowstripe cardinalfish)
Lineage: Eukaryota; Metazoa; Chordata; Actinopteri; Kurtiformes; Apogonidae
Description: partial small subunit ribosomal RNA
Source: RNAcentral
CACCGCGGUUAUACGAGAGGCCCAAGCUGACAGUUGCCGGCGUAAAGAGUGGUUAAUUAACUCACAAAACUAAAGCCGAACAUCUCCAAAGUUGUACAACGCACUCGAAGGUAUGAAGAUCGACCACGAAAGUAGCUUUACAUUCUUUGAACCCACGAAAGCUAGGAAA